AGCGAACGCUGGCGGCAGGCCUAACACAUGCAAGUCGAACGGAUCCUUCGGGAUUAGUGGCGGACGGGUGAGUAACACGUGGGAACGUGCCUUUUGGUUCGGAACAACUCAGGGAAACUUGAGCUAAUACCGGAUGUGCCCUUCGGGGGAAAGAUUUAUCGCCAUUAGAGCGGCCCGCGUUAGAUUAGCUAGUUGGUGGG
Molecule: ribosomal RNA, 200 nt
Filed under: uncultured bacterium
Lineage: Bacteria
Description: partial 16S ribosomal RNA
Rfam family: Bacterial small subunit ribosomal RNA
Source: RNAcentral